UUUUUUUCUCACUCCCCCUUCUUGCUGUUGCAUAUUGUAGCUCAACUUAAAACCUCAUUAAGAUCCAAAUGUGCAAAAAGUACAUUCUAGCUAUUUUUCAACUGGUCUUAAGAUUUUGAUCAGGUCUGUAUAGCCUUUGGUCCAAAAAAACGUCAUAGUAUAGCAUGUCGCUCGAAAAACAUCAUAGUAUAGCAUGUCGUCCCAAACCCAUCAAACUAUGGCAUGUCACUCUAAAAACGUCAUAGUAUGGCCUUUGGUCCAACAAACAUCAUAGUAUAGCAUGUCGCUCAAAAAACGUCAGAGUAUGGCCUUUGGUAUAAAAACGUCAUCGUAUAGCAUGUCGCUCCAAAAACGUCAUAGUUUAGCAUGUCGCUCUACAAAUGUCAUAGUAUAGCAUGUCGCUCAAAAAACGUCACAGUAUAGCAUGUCGCUCUAAAAACGUCAUAGUAUAGCAUGUCGCUCUAAAAAUGUCAUAGUAUAGCCUUUGCUUUAAAAAUGUCAUAGUAUAGCAUGUCGUCCAAAAACCAUCAUAGUAUAGCAUGUCGUCCAGAAAACGUCAGAGUAUAGCCUUUGGUCUAAAAACGUUAUGUCCUGGCUGUCUGAAGUAGGUGAGGAGCAACAGAAAAACAGUCCAAAUGCUGGUUUCCAGAGGGUUAGACGAGUAUUUAUUUGAAAGAGUAAGUUUACAACAGCACAUGUGAGGGGGUUAAAAGCAAAUGAGUGUUAGUAAAAUAAGAAGAAAUAAACAGAACUAAAAGUGAACAUCACGUUGACAUUGAUGGACAUUCCAACCAUGAACCAAGUAAAAGAUAAUCAAUACGAAAAACAACUCUUCCUGUUCACCUCUUAAAACCCAAAAACACCGCAGUAGCAUCAUGAACUAAAACUACCAAUGGGUUCCCUGUUUUCUUUUGUGAACAAUUCAAAGGUCCCUCUCUAUCUCCCCACACAUCCACCAACCACUGGAACACAUCUCCAAAGUUCUGCCGGGCCAGCUCAGCUUCCCCUCAGAAGAAGUGCCGCCACCUGCCAGAUGAAGGAGCCUUUUGAGAGGCAGCUGGCAUCGUGAUUGGACUGUACUUUGGUCUAUUCCAAUCCAGCUUCAGCUCCAGAGACGGCAGGCGGGACGAGUCAACGAAGGCCGGGUGGACGAAGGCAUGCAGCUGAGUCAAAAAAAAAAUGUGAUUUUUCAACAUGUUGUAAAAAUGUGCCAUAUGAUGAAAUAAUGUAAAGGAGGCCGUGAAAAACACUAUGGUAAG
This is a long non-coding RNA of Amphiprion ocellaris (clown anemonefish), 1259 nucleotides long. The record is from Ensembl. Lineage: Eukaryota; Metazoa; Chordata; Actinopteri; Pomacentridae.